Daphnia carinata is the source of this 2444-nucleotide long non-coding RNA. RefSeq lists it as uncharacterized. The record is from RefSeq and is a predicted model, not a curated record. Lineage: Eukaryota; Metazoa; Arthropoda; Branchiopoda; Diplostraca; Daphniidae. The transcript is spliced from 9 exons.
GAUUGGCUUAACGCGUGUAGUCUGCUGUCUACCUUUACUCGCUAGAUAGACCGUCCUCGCUAGAUUUUACUUCUUGACCUCUAUAUAAUCUUAUUUGUUUCAUUCUGAUCUACAUUUUUUCUGUCCAGGGUCACAAGUGUGAAGGACAUUUUGCCAGAGUGUCCACAAGCUGGUGGGGGCGGCGGUAGUGGUCCGUUGACGUCACAAAUAUGGGAAAGGGGACAUUUCUCGAAGGAUUGUCCACAAGAGGGUCGCGGCGGUGGUGGAAGUCGUACCUGCCAUGAGAUAAACAAAAAAGAAAGAAACAUCAUUUUUAGUGCUCAUUUUUAACGAAGAAGAGGGCAAUGUAGCAAGGGAUUUUCCUCAAGGAGGAAGCAUUGGUGACAGCAACUGUUACGAUUGUAAUGAAGCUGACCACACCAUGAAAGGCUGCCCAAAUCUCUUCAGUGAAUUGACGGAAGAUGGAAAGCCACAUGAGCAAUAGAUUCCAGAAGCUGUGACAUGCAAUGAAAAGGAACUGUUUAAGGGCAUCGUCUAUGUGGGAACGCUUUAACAAUUUUGAUAAAAUCGUCCUCCAUGCUACAGGAAAAGAUGUACUUCAAUACAUAACAUCAUUUGAAGAGACCGGCCUGCACCAACUACUACUUCAAAACAUUAAGAAUUCUGGCUACAUAAAACCAACACCUAUCCAGAAAGCUUCAGUUGUAGUUAUUCUUGCCAGGUUUAAUUGCUUGUGCGGUCACGGGCUCCGGAAAACGGCGGCGUACUUGGUACUGGUUAUGAACAUAUUGUUAGAACAAGGUGUUGCUGGUGCGUCUCAUGCCAUGGGGCAAAAGCCAGAAGUUGUAAUUGUCGCACCCACUCGUGAAUUGGCCAUUCAAAUUGACCGCGAGGCGUGUAAAUUCUCCUACAGUUCGGUUUUAAAGUCUGUGAUUAUAUAUGGAGGAACUCUCACGAGCCAUCAGCGGUCAAAUAUUCAAGCUGGGUGCAAUAUUUUUGUCGCGACCGCGGGGCGAUUCAAGGAUUUUUUCGACCAUGAAGUAUUUGACUUCUCGGGAGUCAGGUUUUAAAUUUUGGAUGAAGCUGAUCGAAUGCUUGUUAUGGGUUUCGGUCCCAAUGUUGAAAAGAUUGUCAAUCAUCCAACGAUGCAUCCGAAAAGAAUCCGUCGUGUUUGUAUGUUUUCGGCUACAUUCCUAGAUGAAGUACAAGCGCUGGCUGCGACGUACAUGGAAGACUACAUAUUCUUCACAACAGGCAUUGUCGGUAGCACCAAUUCGGAUGUUGAACAGGUGUUUUUUUCAGUGCUGGAAAAGAGAUAAGAGAGCUAAGCUGAUCGAAGUUUUACAAGAUCUCGGUGAUGCCAAGACUAUCGUUUUUGUCGACAGCAAAAAGACGCCGGACUUCGUCGCUGCAUUCUCGUGCAAUAACAACUUACAAUCUACCAGCAUCCAUGGUGAGCGUAAACGGAAAUCGUAAAUGUCUCUUCCGAAGCUUCUGUCAGAAGAAUAUGCUAGCAAUCAACUCACGAAUCAUAUGAACAAUAAAAGCCGAUGUCGUGGUGACGAAGAAAACAACACGUCGAGAUGCUGUCAAAAGUGUCUCCGUUCCGGAGAAGGAAGCGCCGGAAGGCAAAAGGCGUCGUGGUGAAACGAAAGCCAAUAAACACGUUGCUGGAUUGGAUGAUGUAGAAAUGUUACACGAAGGCAACGGACACGCUGUCGACAUCCAUGCCAAUCACGUGCCAGAUGAGCCGGAGGCGAACGAUGGAUCGCGAGUCACAUCCGUCAAAAAUGGACGAUCUACUCGCGCAAAGGGCGCACUCAAAGUUCAUUUUGACGUGGCCGAAACGGCGGAUUCGCCAGUCAGAUCCACCCGUUCGACGCGGAAGACGGCUUCACCGGCCGAGAAGAAAGUCUCUGUCCAGCUGGAACGCGACCCCGACAUUGAGACUGUGGCCGCUACUGAAAAAAGAAGAGGAAGAGAAAGCACCGGCCGCCAAACGUUCACGACAAAAGAAGGGCCCGGCAGUAUCUGCCGCAACAAUGGCGGAUGAACCUCCGGCCGUGCCGGCCACGAAACGGACACGUGAUGGCAAGAAACAACUAGCGAACCUGAGCUUGUUAAGGAUGAUACCUCAUCGCCACCACCACCACCUCGACGUACUAGAAACAUCUAACAGCAAGACCCAUCAAUGAAUUACCUAUUUUAUUUCUCUUUUGUUUCACGGUAACUCGUGUCCUUAAAAGUCAGCACGACAGGCACAUUGAGAUAAUGGUUAUUGCUACCUUCUUGCUUUUUAAAAAAGGCAUCAAGCCAACUGUUCAACUAUGCAGUUAGGCUUUUUCCUUUUUUUAAAAUUAGAAUUAAUGAAAUAAUGCAAAGCUUGUCAUUUCAAUCAUUUCAGGAUUGUGGAGACAAACAUUGUGGUUCCAGCGGUUUCCUUA